RNAcentral lists this ribosomal RNA (82 nucleotides) under uncultured bacterium. RNAcentral's name for it is "partial 16S ribosomal RNA". It matches the Rfam family "Bacterial small subunit ribosomal RNA", at positions 273 to 354 of the family's 1533-position model. The record is from RNAcentral.
CCGACGAUGCGUAGGGGUUCUGAGAGGAAGGUCCCCCACACUGGUACUGAGACACGGACCAGACUCCUACGGAAGGCAGCAG